This 488-nucleotide long non-coding RNA is filed under the name Crocodylus porosus (Australian saltwater crocodile). RNAcentral describes it as "lncRNA (ENSCPRG00005014219.1)". Lineage: Eukaryota; Metazoa; Chordata; Crocodylia; Crocodylidae. The record is from RNAcentral.
UGGCCCUCUAAAUUCAAGGAAGUAAAAGAGAAGCCUUGUUUAUGGUGGUCAUUUUGAAGCUGAUUGCUGCAAGCUUUUUCCUCUUUCCAGCUGGUUGGACAUAAGAGGAGAGGCCUCCCUGCUUCGAUAGAUGUCUAGUGCCCUUGCUCUUAUCCCUUUCUGCUUUCUGUACUUGCCCAAGAGCUGACAAAUCUCUUCUGAAGGUUUGGAUCCAUAACAGAUUAAUUUUCCUGUUCCAUCUCAUGGAGUGUAUGCAGUCUCCAGUGUUUGACACUGCAUCUUGAAUGAGCCUACUACCUCAUGCUGUGAUAGUCUCUGGGUUUCAAAUUGGCAGAAAGGCCCUUGGGUCCAUCCAGCGGCAUGUGACGAGACAGAGGCCAGUUCUUGGAGUACUGUGAUCCAUUCCAGGCAUCAGUCUCUAAUCGCCAUCAUUCUCCAAGGUUUAAAAUGGAAAUAAAAGAGAUUUUGUGUAGGUUCUCUUAUUUUUA